GCCUCGUUAGCGCAGUAGGCAGCGCGUCAGUCUCAUAAUAGAAUGUAGAAAUCUGAAGGUCGUGAGUUCGAUCCUCAGACUGGGCA
Molecule: non-coding RNA, 86 nt
Organism: Nematostella vectensis (starlet sea anemone)
Lineage: Eukaryota; Metazoa; Cnidaria; Anthozoa; Actiniaria; Edwardsiidae
Source: Rfam